RNAcentral lists this ribosomal RNA (482 nucleotides) under uncultured bacterium. RNAcentral describes it as "partial 16S ribosomal RNA". It matches the Rfam family "Bacterial small subunit ribosomal RNA", at positions 30 to 507 of the family's 1533-position model. The record is from RNAcentral.
AUUGAACGCUGGCGGCAUGCCUUACACAUGCAAGUCGAACGGUAACAGGGCUUCGUGUGCUGACGAGUGGGGAACGGGUGGGUAAUACAUCGGAACGUGCCCGAUCGGGGGGGAGAACGAGGCGAAAGCUUUGCUAAUACCGCAUACGAUAUACGGAUGAAAGCGGGGGAUCUUCGGACCUAGCGGGGACGGAGCGGCCGAUGGCAGAUUAGGUAGUUGGUGGGAUAAAAGCUUACAAAGCCGACGAUCUGUAGCUGGUCUGAGAGGAUGAUCAGCCACACUGGGACUGAGACACGGCCCAGACUCCUACGGGAGGCAGCAGUGGGGAAUUUUGGCAAAUGGGCGAAAGCCUGCUCCAGCCAUGCCGCGUGCAGGAUGAAGGCCUUCGGUUUGUAAACUGCUUUUGUACGGAACGAAAAGCCUCUUUCUAAUAAAGACGCGUCAUGACGGUACCGUAAGAAUAAGCACCGGCUAACUACGUG